AUUGAACGCUGGCGGCAGGCCUAACACAUGCAAGUCGAGCGGAUGAAGGGAGCUUGCUCCUGGAUUCAGCGGCGGACGGGUGAGUAAUGCCUAGGAAUCUGCCUGGUAGUGGGGGAUAACGUCCGGAAACGGGCGCUAAUACCGCAUACGUCCUGAGGGAGAAAGUGGGGGAUCUUCGGACCUCACGCUAUCAGAUGAGCCUAGGUCGGAUUAGCUAGUUGGUGGGGUAAAGGCCCACCAAGGCGACGAUCCGUAACUGGUCUGAGAGGAUGAUCAGUCACACUGGAACUGAGACACGGUCCAGACUCCUACGGGAGGCGGCAGUGGGGAAUAUUGGACAAUGGGCGAAAGCCUGAUCCAGCCAUGCCGCGUGUGUGAAGAAGGUCUUCGGAUUGUAAAGCACUUUAAGUUGGGAGGAAGGGCAGUAAGUUAAUACCUGGCUGUUUUGACGUUACCAACAGAAUAAGCACCGGCUAACUUCGU
This 483-nucleotide ribosomal RNA is filed under the name uncultured bacterium. RNAcentral describes it as "partial 16S ribosomal RNA". It matches the Rfam family "Bacterial small subunit ribosomal RNA", at positions 30 to 506 of the family's 1533-position model. The record is from RNAcentral.